AUUGAACGCUGGCGGCAGGCCUAACACAUGCAAGUCGAGCGGAUGAAGGGAGCUUGCUCCUGGAUUCAGCGGCGGACGGGUGAGUAAUGCCUAGGAAUCUGCCUGGUAGUGGGGGAUAACGUCCGGAAACGGGCGCUAAUACCGCAUACGUCCUGAGGGAGAAAGUGGGGGAUCUUCGGACCUCACGCUAUCAGAUGAGCCUAGGUCGGAUUAGCUAGUUGGUGGGGUAAAGGCCUACCAAGGCGACGAUCCGUAACUGGUCUGAGAGGAUGAUCAGUCACACUGGAACUGAGACACGGUCCAGACUCCUACGGGAGGCAGCAGUGGGGAAUCUUGGACAAUGGGCGAAAGCCUGAUGCAGCCAUGCCGCGUGUGUGAAGAAGGUCUUCGGAUUGUAAAGCACUUUAAGUUGGGAGGAAGGGCAGUAAGUUAAUACCUUGCUGUUUUGACGUUACCAACAGAAUAAGCACCGGCUAACUUCGUG
Molecule: ribosomal RNA, 484 nt
Filed under: uncultured bacterium
Lineage: Bacteria
Description: partial 16S ribosomal RNA
Rfam family: Bacterial small subunit ribosomal RNA
Source: RNAcentral